UGAAAAUUUUUAGCAGGUUUGUGAAGCUUCAUGAAGUUAACUACUACAUCUAGUUAAAGAGAAACAAUGUCCGUCCAGGGGCGGAUCCAGGAUUUGAACAUUGGGGGGGCCAAAACUUGUGCCGCUACAUUCAUUGUCGAUGGUACUCUAAUUACUACAUCAAGCUGAAGCGUCUGAGUAUUCGAAUUGCUUUCCUCUCACAUUCGUGACAUUCUUCACAUGCAGGUACUCCUUAUCUACAACUCUAUUUGCCAUCAAACAAAAAUAUAUAUAGCUUUCACCUGCUCAACUUCACCUAUAGAGCCCAGUAAAUUCUUCACUGUUGACCAACAUAACUCGAUGUUUUUCAGGGGGUCUAUUUGUUGAUCGCAAAAUGCCUCUAUUUGGCAUCCUAUUAUCAAUAUAUACACUAUUUCCAUUCCCUGAAUUUUGUAAUAGCAGAUCUGGAGUUUGUCAAUGUUUUUCUUUGGCUUAGUUUAUCCUUUGUUGAAUGUUCAUUGUAUCUUAUUCUUUGGAACACUCCAGUCUAGUAGAUAUGGAGUCUGUCAAGUCUGCAACUGAAGAGUAGAGACCUCCUCCACACUGACAGCACCCUACUUUUAUCUUUCUCGUUGUUAGCGACCUCAACGCCACUGGCUACGCAAUAUGCUUCAGUGUUGGGAUAAACCUUCACCAUGAUCCACCAACUUUUGGUUUCUCCGGACGACAAUUUUGAAAAGAGAUCUCUGCUUGAGUGUCUUCAAAUUUUGCUCAUGAGAAGAGAGCUAAAAGCAGGACUGAUCCAGGAUUUACACAUGGACUGGGGUGGGGGGGCCAUGGCCCCCCCAAGUCACUAUGUAAAUCCGCCUCUGUGUCCGUCAUUUAUGAUUUUGGUUGGAUUCCCUCAUCUACAAUUAUAUUAUUUUUGUAAGCCAAUGAAAUAAAUUUUGCUAUUCAUUUAUUACAAAUGGAAUAUCCAACAUGCUUAUGGCCCCUUUAACUGAUUACUAUGCUCAACUAGAUCCUAAUCAGAAAGGUUCUUAUUGGUAUCACGAAUCCUAUUUGUUAGGCUUCUUUUUUACAAAUGUUUCUCAGUAAGACUUCCUUGAGUGACUGUUGUUUGGAUUCAUAUAUAUUCCAUUAGUCGUCGUCAGUUAUUUCUGUUAGUCUACCUAAACAUUUCCCUUCGGCUGUAGUUCCAAUUCAAUUGAUGAAAUUUUUAGGCAUUGAUUAUCAGGUGGGCUUUAGUGUGGAACAUGGAUGUUGCUGUCAAAAUGGCCAAGUUUAUAGAGCUAGAUGCCAUCAAAGGACUCACAGUUCCGGGCAGCUAAGAUCAUCAGAGUUGUCUAGGAUGGUUAUCAUCUACCAAUCCCCAAGAACAAGUAUAAGCUCUUUGAAUUCGGCCGACAACAUAUGUGCAUGAGAUGGAAGAAGUUGCGAGGAGCUCUAAAGUUCUCAGAGGAAAGGGCUGAAAUCUAUCCAGCUUUUGCAUGGCUUAAAUGUGAAAAGGAGGAGGGAGUAGAAGACUGCGACAGUUUCUUAAGGAAUCACAAGAUCCUGACUCAAGCAGCGGCAUUUUGGUGCAAUGGCAAGGGUGUCAGAAAUGUAAAAAUUAGAAUCAUAAAAAUA
This is a long non-coding RNA of Zingiber officinale, 1608 nucleotides long. RefSeq lists it as uncharacterized. NCBI's taxonomy places the organism in Eukaryota, Viridiplantae, Streptophyta, Magnoliopsida, Zingiberales, Zingiberaceae. The record is from RefSeq and is a predicted model, not a curated record. The transcript has 3 exons.